This 69-nucleotide ribosomal RNA is filed under the name Mysmena sp. MYSM-013-THAI. RNAcentral's name for it is "partial 18S ribosomal RNA". Lineage: Eukaryota; Metazoa; Arthropoda; Arachnida; Araneae; Mysmenidae. The record is from RNAcentral.
CGUCUGUGUUCUUCAAAUGACACGACGAGCAGCUUCCGGGAAACCAAAGCUUUUGGAUUCCGGGGGRAG